UACUUUAUGGAACGAUAUUUCAUUGAGAAAUCAAUUCAGACUAGGUCUCUCUGAUGGAAUAAAAGAUGAACUUUCUAGAUUAGAGUUACCACCUACACUUGAGGAAUUAAUGACCCUUACUAUAACAAUAGACAGACGUCUUAGGGAACGACAGCAGGAGAGGUCUUAUCACGACACAUACCCAAAGAAACAGACAACACCUCACAUAGUCAAACCUACAUCUGAACCUAUGGACAUAGGUAUGAUAAAAGGUCCUCUGUCGCCUGAGGAAAAGAUCAGGAGAAGAAGAAACAACCUCUGUUUGUAUUGUGCAUCUGAUAACCACACUGUCAAAGAAUGCCCAACUCUCCAGAGGCAAAACAAGGUGGGACCAUCACCGAGUCAACGCUUCCGCGAUAAUUGACUCAGGAGCAACAGCCUCAUAUAUAGAUAAACAAUUCACACAUGUAAAUAAAAUACCUUUGGUGCACAAA
Long non-coding RNA from Bombina bombina (fire-bellied toad), 473 nucleotides. RefSeq lists it as uncharacterized. The transcript is spliced from 2 exons. The record is from RefSeq and is a predicted model, not a curated record. NCBI's taxonomy places the organism in Eukaryota, Metazoa, Chordata, Amphibia, Anura, Bombinatoridae.